This is a long non-coding RNA of Pleuronectes platessa (European plaice), 486 nucleotides long. RefSeq lists it as uncharacterized. NCBI's taxonomy places the organism in Eukaryota, Metazoa, Chordata, Actinopteri, Pleuronectiformes, Pleuronectidae. The record is from RefSeq and is a predicted model, not a curated record. The transcript is spliced from 3 exons.
GUGACUCCAGCUUCAGAAGACACAAGAUUGAGAUGGAUUGAGUUCAUAUAUGAUGGCAACGUUCCUGCCACCACUUUGAAUCGGACUGUUUUAUCAACCUGGGCCAAUAUAACAACGGAUUCUCUAAAAGGUUGUUAUUGAAAGAGGGGUAGGUGCCAUCUUUCCAUCGCAAUACUGAAGACGAGGGAAAUGCAAGCACAUCUGUUCACGGUGCUAGGCUACAUCACGUAGCAUGCCAGACGGACCCACCAAAGAUGCGCACACAUGGAACGCAGCUUUCUAUGAAAACACUGCGACCUCACUACAAAAGUACAGGCACACAGAAAACUGUGCUGCACUGAUGUCGGUGUUGGGACCUCAGCUGUAAGAGACCUCGCUUGGAGGAGGGACAGGACAACCCAAGUUGUUGCAGUAUGGACUUCGGAGAGCCACAGGAUGCUACCUAUGAUCCUGAUGACUCGAUCACAGUCUUGACUGAGUCAGCAG